Molecule: RNA transcript, 1444 nt
Organism: Eucalyptus grandis
Lineage: Eukaryota; Viridiplantae; Streptophyta; Magnoliopsida; Myrtales; Myrtaceae
Exons: 3
Source: RefSeq, a predicted model, not a curated record
UCCAGACAUCACCUCCUUGAGUCCCAUGUCCCGUUAAUGAAGUUGUUUUAAGUCUGGGAGAUUUUUCCUCUUGCUUGAUUAUCAGGCUUUUGGAGGGGGGAAAGUUCUUCAAAGAAGAUGCAUGGGUGGAAGUGGAUGGUAUAUGAUCAUGGUGAUGGGCACUUUGAAUCAAUAGCAGUGAAUACUUGUGGCGGGCUGGGUACUCAGAUUGUCAUGCAGGUUGAUUACAUAUUUGGGUUAUUUGCUCUGCUUCUCACAGCUAAGUUUGAUGGACGGCUUGCUGACUAAGGAACAUAGCUGCAACUGUAUGGAAACAACUUUCAGUAUCUUUUCUUUUGCACUGCAAGGGAUUUUCCAAAAAGCAUCUGUUGAUGCAUGAACAUGAAUGCCUCUGACAGACAUUGCUUGCCAAACCACAUUGACAUCUGGAGUGGCACCAAUCAACUUCAUUACAAACAGGCUCAUAGGAUUUAACUUUCUUUCGCUCUCUAUAGAGAUGCAUAAGUGGAAGUGGAUGGUACCUGAUCAUGGUGAUGUGCACUUUGCAUUAAUAGGGGAGAAUAUUUGUGGCAAGCUGGUUACUCAGAUUAUCAUCUCAGGUAGAUUACACAUUUGGGUUAUCUGCUCUGCUUCUUGUUGACUAAGGGACGUGGCAGCAAGUGUAUGAAAACUACUUGCAGUAUCUUUUCCUUUGCACUGUGAGGGAUUUUCAGAAAAGCCUCUGCUGAUGGGUGAAUACCAUUGACAGAUGCCAAACCACAUAGACGUCUUGAGCGACACCAACCAAAUUCAUCACAGUCAGGCCCGUAUGAUUUACCUUUCCAUUGUCAUAACCACUCUAUCAAUUGGUUUACUUUCCCAAUAAAUAGGGUUGCCUCUCAACGGAGGCUCAUUUUUUGCCUUUUUUAUCUGUUUCAAUUACUGAUUUUUCUGUUUGUUUUUGCAUGUUUCGCUUAAGGCAGCAGGAUUGCUUGCACAGUCUUCCUCUUGUCACGCCCACUCCUCUUUGUUUCCUCACAUAAUCAUAGUAGCAUGGAAGCAUUCCAGAGAACGCUCUUCUAGCAAAGUUCACGUGUGGAUAUCAUGGCCGAUAUGAUCGAUUGAACUCAGAAGAAAGAACCUGUCGAGCAAAAGGAUCAAUUCGAAGUUCUGCAUAUAUAACAAUUGGAUCAACUCAGCUCUCUGUUGUCCAUUUUCUUGUUUACAAAAGCUGGUCCAUGGGCUUACCCACUGAAGCAAGGCCACUGUUUUUGCGAUGAUGGUUUUAAUUUCACUUUUCGAGAUUCUUCGCUGACUAGAACCAUGUGCAAGUGCAUCAUCAGGCUUCAGUUUCAAAAGAAGCUUUAUGAUAUCUUUUGCUGGAAAGUCGCGAGCAUGGUGUAUCCUUUACUGUAAAUUAUGUCGACUCACCUCAGAUUGAUCCUUUAGUGUUAGAUAUCGAUAU